UUUGUCUAAACAGAUGAAAACGAACAAAAAUAAAUUAAUUUACUUCGGCAGACCCAAAUCAAUUCAAAUCAAGUCCAAAUUUCCGUAACAAUUUUAAAAGAGUGUGGGGCCAUCAAAUUCCCUUAUAUUUUUAGCCUAACUCUACAAAUAAUUGUUGAGCCAAUUCAUUCAUUUUUUUAAGCCCAAAUUUCUUCCUCUCUCUUUCCCCUGCGCCAACUUCUCCAUCCAUGGGGACUCUCCAGCUUCAAUUAACCUUCCACCCUCCAUCUUCCACAAUUCAAUUCUGCAAAAUCAAAGGUCACACAAAUUUAAUUCUAGGAUUCAUUUAUCUCCUCUCCUACCCUUUCACUUCAACAUUCUUUGUACAAGCAAAAAUUAGUGAGAGAGAGGGAGAGCCGAGAGAGAAACGAGAGAGUGAAGAAAUUUGCUGCCAUGUUUUGUUUCAAUCACAACCAAGCCAAGGUGGUUCGCACGCACGUUAAAGUCGGAUCAAGAAGUUUGUUAAGGAAACUACUAAGCUUUUGAGGUUGAGCGUUGACGAGGACGGAGUAUGUUGAGCAUUUGGACAAAGACUGUAUUCAAUAAAUGUUCCGGUUGCUAUUGUGUCUUCAUACAUAGUAGUAGCCAACUUUCAAAUGCUUCCGCUACGUCAAGUUUUAGAACUCUUAUGUUUUCUUUAUUCUGUUGGACUGUUUUUCCUACGAACUUUGUUGCUAGUAAUUUCAGACCAUAAUUUAGUAAUAAAGUUCCAUCUUUUGAUCUUUA
This is a long non-coding RNA of Salvia splendens (bonfire salvia), 765 nucleotides long. RefSeq lists it as uncharacterized. The record is from RefSeq and is a predicted model, not a curated record. NCBI's taxonomy places the organism in Eukaryota, Viridiplantae, Streptophyta, Magnoliopsida, Lamiales, Lamiaceae. The transcript has 3 exons.